UACAAUGCUCAUCCCAUCUCGAAUCAUGACAUCUUUGGUUGGCCUCUUAGCAAUUGUCAGCAUCUUUGCCACAUGGUUGGAGGCUAGACAUCAGUUUGUCACCAUAUAAUGUAUUCCCUCUAUCUGGUUGGGAGCAUAGAGCAGGUGCUUGGAAAUCCUGCUGUCAUCCAUUCUCCACACAUGACUGGUCCAUGUUCAGCUGAAUUAUGCAGGUGUCUCUAUAUAGCAGCUUUACUCAGAAAGAACAAGACGACGAAAACUAAUUGUACAAAUAAUAAUAAUAAUAAUAAUUAAGCAAGGAGGGAAAUGAACUAGUUAUAGAGUUGACGAUAUAAAGUCAAAAUAAUUUAAAGCUGUCAUUCUACUUGGUCCGUGUGGUGGUUUACUAGAUUGACCAGCGCAUCUAGAACAGAAAUAUUUUAAAGAAACAUGCAAAUGAAUCUUCUCUGGAGAACCAAAGCCCUGCACUUCUUCAUCUUGAUGAGCUCAUUCCCUUAACUGGUGAAGCAAGCAUUUGUCCUUCAAGUCCAAUAAGUUCUAACUGUCAUUAAUCACACGUUUCUUUGGUAAGUGUUUAAAAAGUCUAAUCAGGGAAGAAGAGCACUAAAGAGAAAAUACACGGCACUCUCCAGUAAAGGACCCAAUAAAAGGUAAAGAACUGAGAUAGCUGAGUUUUGAAAUCUUAGAUAAUAUAAA
This is a long non-coding RNA of Diceros bicornis minor, 696 nucleotides long. RefSeq lists it as uncharacterized. The record is from RefSeq and is a predicted model, not a curated record. Lineage: Eukaryota; Metazoa; Chordata; Mammalia; Perissodactyla; Rhinocerotidae. The transcript is spliced from 4 exons.